Molecule: ribosomal RNA, 479 nt
Filed under: uncultured bacterium
Lineage: Bacteria
Description: bacterial SSU rRNA
Rfam family: Bacterial small subunit ribosomal RNA
Source: RNAcentral
GAUGAACGCUAGCGAUAGGCCUAACACAUGCAAGUCGAGGGGCAUCACAUGAAGUAGCAAUACGGAUGGUGGCGACCGGCGCACGGGUGAGUAACACGUAUGCAACCUGCCUUCAACAAGGGGAUAACCCGUUGAAAGACGGACUAAUACCCUAUAACACAGGGGUCCCGCAUGGGAAUAUUUGUUAAAGGACAACCGGUUGAAGAUGGGCAUGCGUUCCAUUAGCUAGUUGGCGGGGUAACGGCCCACCAAGGCAACGAUGGAUAGGGGAACUGAGAGGUUUAUCCCCCAACUGGUACUGAGACACGGGACCAGACUCCUACGGGAGGCAGCAGUGAGGAAUAUUGGUCAAUGGACGCAAGUCUGAACCAGCCACGUCGCGUGAAGGAAGACGGCCCUACGGGUUGUAAACUUCUUUUAUACGGGAAUAAAGUGCCCCACGCGUGGGGUUUUGCAUGUACCGUAUGAAUAGGAUCGGC